GACGUAGGGCGCGAGCGUUGUCCGGAUUUAUUGGGCGUAAAGAGCUCGUAGGCGGCUUGUCGCGUCGACUGUGAAAACUCGGGGCUCAACUCCGAGCUUGCAGUCGAUACGGGCAGGCUAGAGUUCGGUAGGGGAGGCUGGAAUUCCUGGUGUAGCGGUGAAAUGCGCAGAUAUCAGGAGGAACACCGGUGGCGAAGGCGGGUCUCUGGGCCGAUACUGACGCUGAGGAGCGAAAGCGUGGGGAGCGAACAGG
Molecule: ribosomal RNA, 253 nt
Filed under: uncultured bacterium
Lineage: Bacteria
Description: partial 16S ribosomal RNA
Rfam family: Bacterial small subunit ribosomal RNA
Source: RNAcentral